GGGAAUGUGGCUUAGUGGUAGAGUCCUUGCCUAGCAUGCAUGAAGCCCUGGGUUCGAUUCCUCAAUACCA
This 70-nucleotide transfer RNA is filed under the name Dipodomys ordii (Ord's kangaroo rat). It matches the Rfam family "tRNA". Rfam says of the family: Transfer RNA (tRNA) molecules are approximately 80 nucleotides in length. Lineage: Eukaryota; Metazoa; Chordata; Mammalia; Rodentia; Heteromyidae. The record is from Rfam by way of RNAcentral.